Macaca mulatta (Rhesus monkey) is the source of this 819-nucleotide long non-coding RNA. NCBI's taxonomy places the organism in Eukaryota, Metazoa, Chordata, Mammalia, Primates, Cercopithecidae. The record is from Ensembl.
CCUGCAGACGGUGGCGAAUGCUCAGUCUUCUCAAUUCAAGUUAUGACAGUCUUCUCUGAGUAUAAUAACUUCUGUAGGGUAAUUACUUUCCCUCCUCUCGAGGGCAUUCCCCACCUCCACCUUCACAAAGAAGCAUCAUGGUCAGUUGCAAGGUAAGCCAAUGUAUCCUCCAGGCAUUGUGAUGUUCUCCUGGUCCCUGGCUGCAUCUGUCACUGAGUAGCUGAGGCUGAUAUGUCCACCUGUGAUCAGGUGCCCAUGGCCUGGUGGUUCCUCCUCAUCCUUCUGAUCCCCUGAGGCCUGCCUGUGGCUGCUCCUGAGAAUCUGGCUGGCAGAGUCUGCUGUGGAGCUGAGUCUCCAGGGUAACUGUCUUCCCUAGGACAGCUUGGAAGCCAGCGUCAUCAGUGAUCAUCUAUGUUCCCUCUGGAGCACGUGGGAAUUUCCAUGUCCCAUAAAUACUAGGCCAGGGAUGUGGCAAUCUUUGGCCUGGUCUCAGGAGCUUCCCUCAGAAUUGUCUGUUUUGGUUCAGGCACCAUGCAGCAAGCAGCGCCCUGUUGGCCACAGGGCUUCUCUAAAAGGCAUGGAGUAUUUACAGGAUGAGCCCAAGGAAGCAUUACCCUCUGCAUUCCUGGGACUGAAGGUCAUGGCUAAUUGGCAUGGCUGCUCAAAUCUUCUCUGAGCAUCGCCUCAUGGAAAUCUUGCAAAGUGGAGGACCCAGUGGGAGAACAACAGGAUUCUGAUUAUGGGCUGAAGAUAAUUUCACUGGCUCACCACGGGCCUUAUUUGCUGGUGAUAAAAUAAAGGAUAGGAGCUCAGCAACCA